This is a long non-coding RNA of Formica exsecta, 967 nucleotides long. RefSeq lists it as uncharacterized. NCBI's taxonomy places the organism in Eukaryota, Metazoa, Arthropoda, Insecta, Hymenoptera, Formicidae. The record is from RefSeq and is a predicted model, not a curated record. The transcript is spliced from 3 exons.
UGACUGAACAAUGUUAUAUAACACGAACACGUCAGGUAUUUGAUCGUUCUCUUAGAGCACUUCCCAUCACUCAGCAUCAUCGUAUAUGGCCAUUAUAUAUUAAUUUCUUAAAGAAACAUAAUGUUUAUGAGACUGCUGUCAGGGUCUUUAGAAGAUAUUUAAAGGUAAGAACACUAAUAUAUUUAAUAAUACUAAUAUUUGUAACAAUUUAUAUUAUAAUUAAUACUAUUAUAUAUUUGUCAUGUUUUUGAUUAAUAUAAAUAUACACAUUAAGAGUUGAGAAAACUUUGUUUUUGGCAAAAGUUUUAUUAUGUAUAUAUUUUAUUUUAUCUGUUUUAUAUAAAUUUAUAUAUAUGUAUAUGUAUUUUGUAUAUAUGUAUAGUAAGAUACAGAAGAUACAGAAGAAUAUAUCGAAUAUCUAAUAUCAGUUGGUAGACUUGAUGAGGGUGCUAUAAAACUUGCACAGAUUGUUAAUUUUGUAUCAUUUGUAUCAAAACACGGAAAAUCUAAUCAUCAAUUAUGAAAUGAAUUAUGUGAUUUAAUAUCAAAAAAUCCUGCUAAAAUAAAGUCCCUGAAUGUAGAUGCUAUUAUUAGAGGUGGAUUAAGACGUUAUACAGAUCAAUUGGGACCUUUAUGGAAUUCACUAGCAGAUUACUAUGUUUGAAGUGGUCUUUUUGAGAGGGCAAGAGAUAUUUAUGAAGAAGCUAUACAAACUGUUACUACAGUCAGAGAUUUUACUCAAGUUUUUGAUGCUUAUGCACAAUUUGGAGAACUUAGUCUUAAAAAACUUAUAGAAGAAGCAGCAAAAAAUCCCACUGAAGAAGAUGAUAUAAAAUUAGAAUUGAGACUAGCAUGAUUGGAACAUCUUAUGGAAAGGAGAUUAUUGUUACUCAAUUCUGUAUUAUUACGACAAAAUCCACAUAAUGUAGCAGAAUGGCACAAAAGAAUUAAGCUUUAUGAAGGGCAA